CUCUGUUUUUCCAUUGUGAAUUAGGUCAAAUGGGUAUAUGUUAUUGUAUCAGUGUAUUUAAAAUUGAUACAUAGACUUCUUCCAGUUCAUUGUGGAAUUAAAAUUAUAGGGUUUCAACAUAAUGUGGAAUUAGUUGUUUCUAAUUAAGUUUUCGGUGGUAUUUAGUCCACCUGAUCGAGCAAUUUAGAAUGAGAACCCCGAAAAAACUUCAAUAGAGGUCGUUUGGAAGCCUAAAACUGGGUAGAUUGGUGAGAUUUUGACAUCACUUCAAAAACCCAUGCUUUAUUCGUCUUUAAUCUGUACAACUGGAUUGAUCCCAAAAAAAUGCUAUAUGGUUCAUUCUUAGUUUGUACAACUUCAUGUUUAACAUGUUCUCUCACCUUUUCCGGGCAAAGCAGAAAGGGAAUAUGAAAUGAUACUAAAAAGGACCUUGCUAAGUAUAUAUCAUCUGACUAUUAAUCUAAAUACCACAACUUUUGUUAUACUUCAGGUUGUUAACGAUGACGGCGUUGUAUCCUUCAUACACAAAUUGUUUUUUUCCAUAUAAUUUGUAGAAGAGUCGUUCAUGUAUCUGGUUGUCUGAACCACCUAUAAGGCUAUACUUGUAAAAGUAGGAAGCUUUUUCUAAUAUCUUCUGAUUCUUCUUGUUAUAUACUUAAAAUUUUUGUGUCAGUAUGUCAUAUGAGUUCCUUAUGUUAGGUAGCGGAUAGAUAUUUGUUCAUUAAAUUAUUUAGGGUGUUGAACACUUUCUUGACACAAAUUUUGCAUAGCUUCUUCCUUGUGUUGUUAAUGUUGCUUGUGCAACUCUUGUGGAUGCUAGGAUUCCUUUAAAACAUCUUGUUGUCUCUAUCUGUCGUGGUGUGUCAGAAGCAGGAUCUCUAGUUUUGCAUCCCACCAAGGAUGAAGAGCAGAUUUAGGGGCGGUGAGUGCACUUGGAAGCCUUUCAUUUAGACGACCGAGCGGACAAGUUUGACAUUGCAUGUUAAAUUCUACUUGAGUCUGGUCAAAUCUUCUAGUAACUGAAGUUGACAGACUACGUAUGGAGGAUCUGCUCGAUGUACGCCCAUCGAUCGCCACUGACUUAUGAAGGACAUUGCUGUCGAAGCUGUAAAUAAGAGGUGUUGUGCUACUAAGAAGACUUAAUUUAGAACGCGCAAUUGGGGGAUAUAAAUUACUAUUCCCAUCCAAUAGUGUCUGUUAAGGGGUGUUUUUCGGGGGUGGAAAUACCAAAACUACCCUUUAAAAAAUAAAAACUAAAUCAAACCUAAAUAUUCCCCACUCCCUUUCAAACUCUAAAUUUUUUCCACUCCCUUUCAAAUUCCCUUCUCCUUCUCUGUCGGCUCCUCACUUUGAAAACAAUUUUU
Molecule: long non-coding RNA, 1364 nt
Organism: Papaver somniferum (opium poppy)
Lineage: Eukaryota; Viridiplantae; Streptophyta; Magnoliopsida; Ranunculales; Papaveraceae
Exons: 5
Source: RefSeq, a predicted model, not a curated record